This 423-nucleotide ribosomal RNA is filed under the name uncultured bacterium. RNAcentral's name for it is "partial 16S ribosomal RNA". It matches the Rfam family "Bacterial small subunit ribosomal RNA", at positions 359 to 773 of the family's 1533-position model. The record is from RNAcentral.
GAAUAUUGGACAAUGGGGGGAACCCUGAUCCAGCCAUGCCGCGUGUGUGAAGAAGGCAUUUUGGUUGUAAAGCACUUUAAGCGAGGAGGAGGCUACUAUAGUUAGUACCUAGAGAUAGUGGACGUUACUCGAAGAAUACGCAACGUCUAAAUCUGUGCCAGCAGCCGCGGUAAUACAGAGGGUGCAAGCGUUAAUCGGAUUUACUGGGCGUAAAGCGCGCGUAGGGGGCCAAUUAAGUCAAAUGUGAAAUCCCCGAGCUUAACGUGGGAAGUGCAUUCGAUACUGGUUGGCUAGAGUAUGGGAGAGGAUGGUAGAAUGCCAGGUGUAGCGGUGAAAUGCGUAGAGAUCUGGAGGAAUACCGAUGGCGAAGGCAGCCAUCUGGCCUAAGACUGACACUGAGGUGCGAAAGCAUGGGGAGCAAAC